AAAUUGAAGAGUUUGAUCAUGGCUCAGAUUGAACGCUGGCGGCAGGCCUAACACAUGCAAGUCGAACGGUAACAGGAAACAGCUUGCUGUUUCGCUGACGAGUGGCGGAC
Molecule: ribosomal RNA, 110 nt
Filed under: Escherichia coli
Lineage: Bacteria; Pseudomonadati; Pseudomonadota; Gammaproteobacteria; Enterobacterales; Enterobacteriaceae
Also listed under: 1 other name
Description: partial 16S ribosomal RNA
Rfam family: Bacterial small subunit ribosomal RNA
Source: RNAcentral